CCUACGGGGGGCAGCAGUAGGGAAUCUUCCGCAAUGGACGCAAGUCUGACGGAGCAACGCCGCGUGAGUGAAGAAGGAUUUCGGUUCGUAAAACUCUGUUGUUAGAGAAGAACAGCGCAUAGAGUAACUGUUAUGCGUGUGACGGUAUCUAACCAGAAAGCCACGGCUAACUACGUGCCAGCAGCCGCGGUAAUACGUAGGUGGCAAGCGUUGUCCGGAUUUAUUGGGCGUAAAGCGAGCGCAGGCGGUCAAUUAAGUCUGAUGUGAAAGCCCCCGGCUCAACCGGGGAGGGUCAUUGGAAACUGGUUGACUUGAGUGCAGAAGAGGAGAGUGGAAUUCCAUGUGUAGCGGUGAAAUGCGUAGAUAUAUGGAGGAACACCAGUGGCGAAGGCGACUCUCUGGUCUGUAACUGACGCUGAGGCUCGAAAGCGUGGGUAGCAAACAGGAUUAGAUAUCCUUGUAGUC
RNAcentral lists this ribosomal RNA (465 nucleotides) under uncultured Granulicatella sp. RNAcentral describes it as "bacterial SSU rRNA". It matches the Rfam family "Bacterial small subunit ribosomal RNA", at positions 338 to 795 of the family's 1533-position model. The record is from RNAcentral. Lineage: Bacteria; Bacillati; Bacillota; Bacilli; Lactobacillales; Carnobacteriaceae.